This is a long non-coding RNA of Mesocricetus auratus (golden hamster), 359 nucleotides long. RefSeq lists it as uncharacterized. The record is from RefSeq and is a predicted model, not a curated record. The transcript has 2 exons. Lineage: Eukaryota; Metazoa; Chordata; Mammalia; Rodentia; Cricetidae.
AGCCCUGCUCUCAGCAGAGACUAACCGUUUCCCACUGCAAACUGUGACCGGGCACAUAACCAGUGAACCAGCAAGACGGCGGCCACCGGCGUCACCAACACCGGGGUGGGUGACACUCAGGGUUACAGGGGUCCUGUCGCUCUGAAGCCUCCAGCAUGCCUAUGCCCUCCUCUGCGAGAGUUACUAUUGACCAUGGGCUUGACGGACUCUAGAAUCAUCUAAGACAACCCAGGUGUGUUCGUGAGGGAUUAUCUAGACUGGGUUUAUCAAGAUGGGAAGAACCGCAUUAAAUUCACACAGCACUAAUCCAUAGCCCGGGAGGUCCUAGACUAAAUAAAAAUGCAAUGCUUUGAGCAUCA